RNAcentral lists this ribosomal RNA (465 nucleotides) under Vreelandella stevensii. RNAcentral's name for it is "partial 16S ribosomal RNA". It matches the Rfam family "Bacterial small subunit ribosomal RNA", at positions 338 to 795 of the family's 1533-position model. The record is from RNAcentral. Lineage: Bacteria; Pseudomonadati; Pseudomonadota; Gammaproteobacteria; Oceanospirillales; Halomonadaceae.
CCUACGGUAGGCUGCAGUGGGGAAUAUUGGACAAUGGGCGAAAGCCUGAUCCAGCCAUGCCGCGUGUGUGAAGAAGGCCUUCGGGUUGUAAAGCACUUUCAGUGGGGAAGAAAGCCUUGGGGCUAAUACCCUCGAGGAAGGACAUCACCCACAGAAGAAGCACCGGCUAACUCCGUGCCAGCAGCCGCGGUAAUACGGAGGGUGCGAGCGUUAAUCGGAAUUACUGGGCGUAAAGCGCGCGUAGGCGGUCUGAUAAGCCGGUUGUGAAAGCCCCGGGCUCAACCUGGGAACGGCAUCCGGAACUGUCAGGCUAGAGUGCAGGAGAGGAAGGUAGAAUUCCCGGUGUAGCGGUGAAAUGCAUAGAGAUCGGGAGGAAUACCAGUGGCGAAGGCGGCCUUCUGGACUGACACUGACGCUGAGGUGCGAAAGCGUGGGUAGCAAACAGGAUUAGAUACCCUUGUAGUC